Molecule: long non-coding RNA, 3835 nt
Filed under: Homo sapiens (human)
Lineage: Eukaryota; Metazoa; Chordata; Mammalia; Primates; Hominidae
Description: HSALNT0364403
Source: RNAcentral
AACACUGAACUGAGUUUAUGGAUGAUGCUCAACAAUUUAUUGUUGAUUAACUGAUUGAUUGAUUCUGUUGCUAUGGAAACCAUCAGAUUCUAGUACAACAGUGGGAUUCCUUCCUGACUUUAUGCUUGACAAAAUGCUGACUCUCUGUGCUUGCUUCUCCCAGCUUGCCACCUCCAUCUGGGUCAGGAGGAGCAAUUGGAAGCAGAAGCUCCAAGAGAAAGGUGGGAAUGUUGGUAAACCCAGGUGAAAAAAAGCAACAAGGAGGGUUGCUAGGAGAAAUGAAUGAAAUGAUACAAGUAAGGUAGAAAGCAGAGUGCUUUCUACAAGCCAAGAAGUGGCCCCCCAACAGAUACCAAGCUCUGGACCUCCUGGUGCCUUGAUUUUGGACUUCCCAGCCUUUUUCAGACCUGUGAGAAAGGUCCGCCGCAUCUUGGAAGGAAACUUCAAAGCUCAUUUAAAGUCAGCCUCUCACAUAGCCCUGCUGGUCUAACUUUCUUCUGAAUGUGAUUUCAGAAGUAAAACCAGGCCAGGGGCUGGGACUCAGGACAGUGCUAGGACUGCUUUUUUCUAUAUCAGACACGUGGGCUCCUGCUGUGUCUUCCUGGAAAGCAGAGGCCAAGGAUGGAGCAGACCAAGAGGAUGCCAGGAAAAAUCACAAAGAAGCCCAGAAAGCACAGCUGGAAGCCAAGAACCCUAUUUUUGGUUUGUGUGGGUGGAAGGUGAGGGACAACAUAUAGUGACCAACAGGAUUCUUCAUUUGAAAGAGAAUGGAGUACAUCAGACCUGUGUAUUUAGGUGAAGUAUGAUAAACAUCAUCAUACUUCAAAGAUUAUGAACAUCAAAGAUUAUGGAAAGGAACAUGACUGCUUAGUUUAUUCCAUUACCAGUGAUCUGCUUGUUUGUUCAUUUGCUUACCCAUCCAUUCAUUUAUUCAUUCAUUCCUCCAUCCAUUCUCUUUCACUUAUUCUACAAUCAUGAUUGUAUGCCUACCAUAUCGCUAGAGAGAGGGCAGGAAAAGAUCCAAGGAUGUGAAUACAAUCUUCUGCUUCAUGAUGAGAGCUAAAGGAAUCUGUAAAGACUUUGUCUUUUUCAUUUUUCUCUCUCCUACAUAGACCCUGGAAAAUGUUUUAUUUCUUAUAAUUUGCCUGAGGUUUACUCAUCCACUACCAGAGCUCUGAAAACACUCUUCAGAACACUAUUUUAAAAUAAUGACAAUGACAAUAAUAGAUAACAUAUAUUCAGUGUUUUUUGUAUGUGAAGCAAUGUAAUAACCAUUUAAAAUGAUUGUAACUAUACUUUAUAAGAGUAUGAUGAAACAGGCACUAUUAAAAUGCUAGUUUUUCACACAGCUAAUAUGAGAGAGAGCUGGGAUUUGGAGCCUCCAUUCAUGGCCAUUAUAUGGUCUGUCUAAUGAAUGAAAUGUUUGACCUUAGAGAAAACUUGAAAUGCAUAGUUUUCUUUGCUGACUUGAAUGAUAUAAGUUUAAAAAUCCGAUAGUGGUUGCUAGUUGAAAAUUCCUAUUCCUUGGGAAACUGUUGAAAGUCUGUUUAGUACUAACCCCCCUCAUUAAUGGCCAUUUGCAAAGCCAGGCCAAGUUUAGUCUUCUACCAGCACUGAAGAAACACAUUUUUACCCAGAAGAAAUGAGGGUGAAAUCCUCUGAUAACUGGAAGAUGCUGGAUGUUCUGGAAAGAAAAGUAAUUUUUUUUUCAAUCUCUGGAAAUUGCUUUUUUUGUUUUAAGUAAGGGUGGCUCAGUAGAUGCUAACAGAGAAGCUGGGAUCAGCUAAUCUGGAGAAGAUUCUGAGAGAAUGAGUUGGGGAAGCUCACACUGAGAAAAUGAGAAGAUUGGUAGGAAGGGCGGUUUCUUGCUGUGUCCAAGAACAGGAAUUGAGAAAUGGUAUUAAGCUGAAGGUGAGAGGGGAACAAAGAAGACUUUGAAAGUUGCAUACAGGUUUGAAACAAAGUAUACCACAAGGAAUGGGAACAUGUAGAGCUGUUUUAAAAAUGUUUCUGUGUUUGUGUGAGUGUGUGUACUAGAUAUAUUUUUAAAAUGACUUUUCUCGGAAUUACAUCAUACUUUGAAGAUCAGCAUAGGAAGUGAAGAAGGAACAAAUAUUCACUGAGAGCAUUCACUAAGGGCCAGGAGCUCCCUGAAUACCACAUAUGCCACCGCUCUCUCUUGUGAUCCUGAAGGUCUGUGAGGCAGUUAUCACUAUGUAUGGUAUAUUUUCAAAGAAAGCAAAUAAAACCCAAUGUGACUAAGAAAGAUGCUAAAGUCAUACAGCUAAUUAGCUGUGGGUCCAGGAUUCAAACCAGUGCACCCAGCACAUGGUCUUCAAUAAAUAUUUAUUGAGCAGUGAAUACAUGAAUGAGUAAAUAAGAUGAAGCAAGCAAGCAAGCAGGUAGGCUUGUCUAACCCAAGUGUUCAUGUUCUAUCCUCUGUACUGGUGGUUUUUAAAUUGUGUGCCACAAAGGCCUUGGGUAACAUGAGGAGGGUUAGUAUGAGUGGCUGUCUAGCAGCAUGGGGCCCCAGGCUCCCUAUCUCUACUCCAACCAGGGCAUCUCUGCUUCUGUUUGUGUUAAACAUUGGGCUUUUGCCUGAGGUUUCAUUUGAAGAAGAGGGCCUUCUUCUAGAAAGUGUUUAUUACUCCUGCCCCAUGCCGUGUUCCCUCCUAAGUAUGCAUUAUGAACUAGUUAAGUUUAAUAAAGACAUAUAUUACUGUAAAGUUGGAAUUUAUACCAGUGUCUGAAUUCCAGUAGCAGCCCCCAUAUCUUGGUAAUCGAAAGCCAACUGUUUCUAAUAUCCGGCAUGCUGCUGAGGCCAUUAACAAUAGAUGAGCCAUCUAGGGCAUUAUGGCUAGCAGCCGGGACUACAACUUCAAGCUGUCUAGGUUCAACUGUGGCUCUGCCAUGACCUGGUGAAAUCUCAGGUAAAUGAUUCGACCUCUCCACACUUUAGCUUCCUCAUCCAUGAAAUGUGAUAGCUACCUUAUACAGCAUGGAAACUUUGUGCUCCAGUAAUAUGAAUGGGCUCACUAUAGCCAAGUGCACUUAGUUCCCUUGAUCUCACGUUUUUGUUUAUGCUGGCUCCCAACUUAAUGUGGUCUUCUCACUUUUCAUCUGACUGUGAAAACUCCAACCAAAGGUACUUAUAUUCCUCCCACUCAAUAAAUAUGAUGGCCUUGGUGUCAGUAAGGCGACAUGUGAAGAGAGAUAUCAGUCUGGCUUGCCAUACAUUACAAGAAUUUGCAGGCUUACCCUGACAGUCCUAGUCCAUGGGAGUGGGUGAUGGGGUACUAUUGUGUCACUGUCCGGGGUCCUGAAUAAUUAAAGAGUGCACAGUGGCUUUUACAAGAAUACUAAGAAUUAUUUAUUUGUUAAGGUAACACUAUCUGCUGUAGUAGGUAACCCUCUCUACCCCCAAAUCUGAGUAGCUUACCAUAUUAGAAGUCUUUUCCUGUUCUCAUAGGGUUCCAUUGGUGCUGGGGGUGAGGAGGGGAGGUGGUAAAGGGGUUUGUUCCACACAACCAUUCAGAGAUUCAUAUUGAUGAAGACGGCCAUCUUCAACAUAUAGUUUCCAGAGUUGUUCUGGGCUCAGUAUUUAGACUCCAGGUGGUAUAUCAGAGGAGAGAAGGAGAGUAGAGAACUGUGUGGCAGAUUUUUAUGAACCAGAUCUAGAAGGGACAUUCAUCACUGUCACUGGGAUGCUGUUAAUUAAAACUCGAGCAUACAACCAUUCCUAAGAAUAAAAGAGGCAGUGGGAUGUUGCUUAUUUGUGAGUUCAUUGGAAAAUCACUAGCUUGUUUUUGCCACAAAAUAUUUUUUAUGUUGUUAC